GAUGAACGCUAGCGACAGGCUUAACACAUGCAAGUCGAGGGGCAGCAUAAAAGUAGCAAUACUUUGGUGGCGACCGGCGCACGGGUGAGUAACGCGUAUGCAACCUACCUAUCAGAGGGGAAUAACCCGGCGAAAGUCGGACUAACACCGCAUAAAACAGGGACACCGCAUGGUGAUAUUUGUUAAAGAAAUUCGCUGAUAGAUGGGCAUGCGUUCCAUUAGGUAGUUGGUGAGGUAACGGCUCACCAAGCCGACGAUGGAUAGGGGAACUGAUCGGUUGGUCCCCCACAAUGGUACUGCGACACGUACCAGACUCCUACGGGAGGCAGCAGUGAGGAACAUUGGUCAAUGGGCGAGAGCCUGAACCAGCCAAUGCGCGUGAAGGAAGAAGGAUCUAUGGUUCGUAAACUUCUUUUGCAGGGGAAUAAAGUGCAGGACGUGUCCUGUUUUGUAUGUACGCUGAGAAUAAGGAUCGGCUAACUCCGUGCCAGCCGCCGCCGUAA
RNAcentral lists this ribosomal RNA (503 nucleotides) under uncultured bacterium. Its description in RNAcentral is "partial 16S ribosomal RNA". It matches the Rfam family "Bacterial small subunit ribosomal RNA", at positions 28 to 523 of the family's 1533-position model. The record is from RNAcentral.